AGGAGGGAGCGACUACUAUAGAAAAGCACCUUGUGGUGCAAAAAUAGAAAACUCGAAGCUGGACCACUCAAUUGAGGAUGGAUGGCACAGAUUCAACUGGUGGGAUGUGUACACACAAAUGCAUGCUUCUGUGCAAAAAGGACCCUCGUUUCUACCUUAUUUGCUUCUGAAUGUGCCAUCAAACGACAGCCCCCCCUCUCUUCCAUCUCCCCUGUUGCUUCCCGACGGCGGCGGCGCUUUAGAUCCGGUGGCAAGCGCCUCCCUUCCCCUUCCCAGCUACUCUUACUCAAGGCCACCUGACUCCUCCUGGCCGCCGUCACGGCGGUGAACCCCGGGGCCCUGCUCCUGUAGGCGCCUAGGAGGCACUGCGUGGCAUUCCCUGUGCCCGCCUCCGGCGCAUCUACGGCGAGAAUGAGCUCGUGCUGUCUGCGCCCAAGCUGCAAGGCUGAUGCUAAUCUGAAGCCAUCUUUGAUGCUAAUUUGGAGCCAUUUUCUUUGCCGCUAUGCACAGUCCAGAGCUGGAGCCAUGCCCUUUAGUUUGUAGUUCGUUAAUCUGUCAAUAUUGAGAUUACAUUGAUUC
Triticum urartu is the source of this 579-nucleotide long non-coding RNA. RefSeq lists it as uncharacterized. NCBI's taxonomy places the organism in Eukaryota, Viridiplantae, Streptophyta, Magnoliopsida, Poales, Poaceae. The record is from RefSeq and is a predicted model, not a curated record.